This 515-nucleotide long non-coding RNA is filed under the name Oncorhynchus mykiss (rainbow trout). RNAcentral describes it as "lncRNA (ENSOMYG00000055452.1)". The record is from RNAcentral. Lineage: Eukaryota; Metazoa; Chordata; Actinopteri; Salmoniformes; Salmonidae.
GUAAUUAUAUUUAUUUCUAAGAUAUUUUAAAGGACGAUAAGAUCCCAAAAAAAGUCAGUAGCAUUGUUUUAAAGGACUUGAUCAUUGAGUUUUCUACCUCUCCAGAUAAUUUAUUUAAUUAACAAUUUUGUUUAGUUUGUUCUAAUAGUCUUCGGGCCUGUAUAAAAUCUCAACGUUGGUCAAUUAUAACUAUCCAUACCUGUUGUUUGUUGUUGGGUGUGUAGGGCAGCAUGGUGGAGACAUGAAACAUCACCUCGUAGUCCUUAUAGGUGGUAUAGAGGGAGUGGGUCCCUGUGGAGUCAGCUGGAGGAGAGACAGACAGUAGAGUUAGACAGACAGGUUCAUAGUCCUUAUAGGUGGUGUACAGGGAGUGGGUCCCUGUUGAGUCAGCUGGAGGAGAGACAGACAGACAGAGAGACAGACAGACAGUAGAGUUAGACAGACAGGUUCAUAGUCCUUAUAGGUGGUAUAGAGGGAGUGGGUCCCUGUGGAGUCAGCUGGAGGAGAGACAGACA